Molecule: ribosomal RNA, 699 nt
Filed under: uncultured bacterium
Lineage: Bacteria
Description: bacterial SSU rRNA
Rfam family: Bacterial small subunit ribosomal RNA
Source: RNAcentral
UGCAAGUCGAACGAGAAAAUAGAGCUUCGGCUUUAUGAGUAAAGUGGCGAACGGGUGAGUAACACGUGGAUAACUUGCCCCUGAAUCUGGGAUAAUCAACCGAAAGGUCGUCUAAUACCGGAUAAUAUCAUUUGAUGGCAUCUUCGAAUGAUCAAAGGUGGAGCAAUCUACCGAUCAGGGAUAGGUCCGCGGUUCAUUAGCUUGUUGGUGGGGUAACGGCCUACCAAGGCGACGAUGAAUAGCCGGCUUGAGAGAGUGAACGGCCACACUGGGACUGAGAUACGGCCCAGACUCCUACGGGAGGCAGCAGUAGGGAAUAUUGCGCAAUGGACGAAAGUCUGACGCAGCAACGCCGCGUGGGUGAUGAAGCAUCUUGGUGUGUAAAACCCUGUCAGCGGGGAAGAACCGUACAAGUAGUAACUGACUUGUACCUGACGGUACCCGCAGAGGAAGUCCCGGCUAACUCCGUGCCAGCAGCCGCGGUAAUACGGGGGGGACUAACGUUGUUCGGAUUUACUGGGCGUAAAGGGUGCGUAGGCGGACCUUCAAGUCGGAUGUGAAAACUAUAGGCUCAACUUAUAGCCUGCAUUCGAUACUGUUGGUCUUGAGUUAAUCAGAGGAAAGCGGAAUUCCAGGUGUAGCGGUGAAAUGCGUAGAUAUCUGGAGGAACACCAGUAGCGAAGGCGGCUUUCUGGGGUU